Molecule: small nucleolar RNA, 223 nt
Organism: Bactrocera oleae (olive fruit fly)
Lineage: Eukaryota; Metazoa; Arthropoda; Insecta; Diptera; Tephritidae
Product: small nucleolar RNA U3
Source: RefSeq, a predicted model, not a curated record
AAGUUAAACCUAUAUCACAUUCACAUGGUAUCUGUAGUAGUUCAUCUUCAUUUACUUUCUUUGCAAUUACGGAAAGUAUCGGGCCCACGAUGAGGAGUAUAAUCGUUUAAUCUGACAGCGUGAGGUUUAUAACCUUUCUUCCAAAUUUUGUUCUUAUGGCAUAUUUGAGAUCGAUGUUUUUCGAGAAUCGCUCGUUUUAAGGAUAAAACGACUUCUGAGUGGU